Molecule: ribosomal RNA, 497 nt
Filed under: uncultured bacterium
Lineage: Bacteria
Description: partial 16S ribosomal RNA
Rfam family: Bacterial small subunit ribosomal RNA
Source: RNAcentral
GAUGAACGCUGGCGGCGUGCCUAAUACAUGCAAGUCGAGCGAACGGACGAGAAGCUUGCUUCUCUGAUGUUAGCGGCGGACGGGUGAGUAACACGUGGAUAACCUACCUAUAAGACUGGGAUAACUUCGGGAAACCGGAGCUAAUACCGGAUAAUAUUUUGAACCGCAGGGUUCAAAAGUGAAAGACGGUCUUGCUGUCACUUAUCGCGGGAUCUCGGCUGGAUUAGCUAGUUGUUAAGGUAACGGCUUACCAAGGCAACGAUGCGUAGCCGACCGGUGUGGGGGAUAGGCGACAUGGGAGGGGAACCAGGGUCAAUACUCCUACGGGAGGCAGCAGAAGCGAAUCUGCCGCAAUGGGCGAAAGCAUGGCGGAGCAAGGGCGCGUGAGUGAUGACGGUCUUCGGAUCGUAAAACUCUGUUAUUAGGGAAGAACAUAUGUGUAAGUAACUGUGCACAGCGUGACGGUACCUAAUCAGAAAGCCACGGCUAACUACGUG